This is a non-coding RNA of Chrysemys picta bellii (western painted turtle), 678 nucleotides long. The record is from the annotation of a RefSeq genome assembly. NCBI's taxonomy places the organism in Eukaryota, Metazoa, Chordata, Testudines, Emydidae.
AUGAAAACUUUGCUUCUCGCUCUCCUGCUCUGUGCCAUUGCUGCAUGUGUCCGUUCCCAGGUUAAACUGCUGCAGACCAGAGCAGCCCAGGUGAAGCCCUCACAGACCCUGAGACUCACCUGCUCAGUGUCCGGAUUCUCUCUCACGUCUAGCGGGAAUCGUGUGAGCUGGAUUCGACAGCCCCCGGGGAAAAGCCUGGAGUGGUUGUGCCUUGUGGAUUGGGAGGAUGACAAAUACUACCAGGAGUCACUUAAAAACCAAUUGACCAUCUGCAGGGACACCUCUAAAAGUGAGGGGUAUUUGGAAAUGAGAGGCAUGGAAGCCGGAGACAGCGGCACCUAUUACUGCACCACAAUUACGAUGACGCAGUCCGGUUUAGGAGAGGUGACCGUCUCAGGGUCCCUCAGUCUGACUUGUGCUGUCUCAGAUUCUGCGCUCUCUACUGGAGGAGACUGGUGGCAUUGGCUCAGGCAGCCCCCAGGAAAAGGGCUGGUGUGGCUGGCAUUGAUAGACAGAUAUGGGAACACCCGCUAUCUCCCUGACAUUCAAAAUCGAACCACCAUCACUGUGAACCCUUCCAAGGAUGAGUUCUACCUGCGAGUGGACAGCCUGAGUCCACAGGACACAGCAACAUACUACUGUGCUAGGAGCACCUACCGGAUGUAUAAACCACCAUGA